RNAcentral lists this ribosomal RNA (147 nucleotides) under Dacrymyces aff. chrysospermus UBC F28385. Its description in RNAcentral is "5.8S ribosomal RNA". It matches the Rfam family "5.8S ribosomal RNA". From Rfam's summary of the family: 5.8S ribosomal RNA (5.8S rRNA) is a component of the large subunit of the eukaryotic ribosome. It is transcribed by RNA polymerase I as part of the 45S precursor that also contains 18S and 28S rRNA. Functionally, it is thought that 5.8S rRNA may be involved in ribosome translocation. Lineage: Eukaryota; Fungi; Basidiomycota; Dacrymycetes; Dacrymycetales; Dacrymycetaceae. The record is from RNAcentral.
UAACUUUCAACAACGGAUCUCUUGGCUCUCGCAUCGAUGAAGAACGCAGCGAAAUGCGAUAAGUAAUGUGAAUUGCAGAAUAGUGAAUCAUCGAAUCUUUGAACGCACCUUGCGCCUCGUUGAGGCAUGCCGGUUUGAGCGCCUUAU